Molecule: long non-coding RNA, 5037 nt
Organism: Eublepharis macularius
Lineage: Eukaryota; Metazoa; Chordata; Lepidosauria; Squamata; Eublepharidae
Exons: 3
Source: RefSeq, a predicted model, not a curated record
GCACCACUAUAACGACAAAGAGGUGGCCCUGAAAACCUGAAACAGAUUUUGAAUGUGCCCUCUGUCAUCUACCCCUUAUUCAGCCUUUUAGUGGACCGGAAUGUCUCACACAGAAAAUUGCACCAGUCCGUGCACCCGUCCACGGUCUCAUAUUCCUGUGUUCAUCUGUCCCUGAAGCUGGGCACUGGGUUUAUAUGCUUCGAGUGUAGAGAUUGGAGUUCAAGUCAGGCAUCCAUUAAUGAAAAGGAGACUGAUCAAAAAUAUAUUUGAAUCCAAAGCCAACUCCAUCCAUGCAUUUUGGUAAAUAUAGAACGGAUAAACCGUGGUGUUGCUUGCAUGGAUGGCCUGGGCAGGAGUGGACAGUUGACGAUUGGAAACCAUAAGUCUAAGACAACCUCCACGGUGUGGCCAAUGAUGUCACAUCAUCCCCAUAAAUGAAAGACCUCCAAACCAUCCCAUCACUGACAGACUUUCCCAUAUCUUGCAAACCUGAGGUCGUGCCCUUUUUUUCCCCUAAAACAAGCACUCUCAUCUUGGCGUUCCCACUUUCGAGAUGUCUUCAGCCUUUCCAGGGACUGUUUUUGGGUGGGCCACCAUUGGAGCAACCUGUCAAAACAAUGCUCACCCUUGUCAGCAAGUCCAUCUAUGGUGCGGUCAAGAUCCUCUUCACUGGCAUCGGUGGAUGAUGACGUGUUCUGCGCUAUAAACGUGAAAUCAAUAAAGGUGUUACGAUUUCAUAGACAGGGAAAUGUGAAAAGGAAGAAAAAUCAUAGCUCUGAACUAGAAUAAUCAACGCUCCAUCACUCACGUGCUGCCAUGGGAUUUGGAGAAGAGCACCACAGCGGUGCAGCAUCUAUCGUCUGCAUGUCGUGCGAGAAGAGUUCCUCCGAUCCCUCCAUCACUUCCCUGGGGGCGCUUAUCUGCGGGGGUCCUUGGGCAAAAGAAAUGCUUCGCGCUAUCCGUUUAGGUUUUACACUUGCGUCCCCUCUUAGAAUACUGUCCAGCUCACGAAAAAAAGGACAUGUAAUGGGGCCGUUUCCAGAGGUGGAAUUGUGUGCUAUGACGCGCUUGUACUCCAACCGCAUACUUUUUGUUUUGUUCCUGCAUUCCAAUGCAGUGCGCCGAUGACCACGUGAGGACAUCAUUUUGGAAAUUUUUUCAAAGUUGUCUAAGUUCCUGUGGGAGCUUCUAAGGGCGUCCUGUAUCUUGUCCUCCCCCCAGAAAGAAAGGAGGUCCAAUACCUCUUUUUCCCUCCAUGUCGCUGAUCGUGGAGCCGCAGGAGCAGUGGCCGACAUUUUCAAAAAACAAUUGUUUAUGAUGGUGUCCGCAGAUCAGAGUGUCGGUUGCUCUUCUCUCCCCACGUCUGCAAGAAAGCAAAUGGAGGGCAGUCCACUGCACUGUGAUCCGUCGACCAAGCACUGUUCUCCCGCCGGAAAUCCAAGCCGUUAAUUGCGCAUGCGCUGCAGCCACCACCCGUUCCUUUGCCUAAUUAAUUUUAAUGUGACAAAAUAACGCUAUGACGAAUUUUCGAUGAAGCAUUGGCGCGCCAGGAAAAUGUAUCGUGAAAAGAACUGUAAUGCGAUGUGAAAAUUGAACCAAUUUGUUGAUAAGAAAUCAACCCCUGUUCUUGUUAAAAAUGCUUUCUCGUGCUUCACUGGACCUCAAGUAGCAGAAAUAAAAAUUAUUGGCCUGAAAGGGCCUUCCCAUGAGUGUGGGAGAACAUAGUGUUCAUUCAACAGCAUUUGGCGCCGAAAUCAAAUCCUUAACACCGAUUGGUCAUCCUGUUUAAGCGCGUCCAAUCAGCAGCCUUUUUUUCCGCGCCUUUAUGGAGCCGUUAUGAAGGCAUGCUUAUUUAUGCAACAGCACAUUUUCGGUAUUUCGUUUAGGAACAAGUAUGGCAGCAGCGGCAAAAGGAGUCUUCUGGCGGGAUGAAGAGGUGGAGACCCUGCUGGACCUCGUUGCACGCUCCGGAAAAGCGGCGCGUGUAAUGAGGAGCACACAUCUGCCCACGAAGCUUAUAUUUCACAAGCUGUCGAGGCAGAUGUGUGCCCGUGGUCACAGCAGGACCCCCGAACAGUGCAGAUCGAAGUUCAAGAGGGUGAAGGGGGACUUCUACGGGGCGCUGGAAGCCUGGCAGGGGAUCCCUCGCCAGAGUGGAAAGCCCCCGUACUUUGCGUCCAUGAUGAACCUCUGGGAUCUCGCCGGAAGGCCAAGCUGGCAAUCCCGUCAUCAUGCUGGUAAGAACCUCUUAAAAGCAUUUAAUUUUAAAUUAACAACGCAGUUAAGUGCACGUCAAUGUGGAGAAACCAGGCAAAAAGUUAGAUGGUGGGGGGAGAGCUGAGAUUCCAUUCCCCCCCCCCCCGUAAUCGUCGCACAACGCCGUUUUAUUGCAAUAGCGGAUUUUUUUUCUCCUACAAAGAAACCUUUUUUUUUAUGCUCGGCGUGAGGGACCCCAAGUUUGGGAAUGUGGCAUGUGUCGAGCCGCUGUGUUCAUCACGGUGCACAGUUGCUGGUGUUAUCUUUGUUGCACCUUUUUGUCAUGAAUGUUCCGAUUGCAAUGGUUUGAUGGAGUGUGCCAACAUUUCUUCUUCACUUUGCAGCCCUUCUCCGUGGUAGAGCUCCCACCGCUGCCGUGGGGGAGGCAAGAGCAGACGAGGAGCAGGAGGCGCUUGAGGUGGCUGGGGAGCAAGCUUCCUCUGAGGACCCUGCACAGGGAUCAGAACAGGCACCCCCUGCUAGUGCACAGGAAAGCCAACUGGAACGGUCGGAGGAGGGUCCCUCAACCAGCAGAAGGUCUGCUCCCCCUGGAAGAGCCCAACGCAGAGGGAUAGGAGAUCUGUUCACGGCCAUGGAGAGGAUGGAGGAGAGGCUAGGAUCAUCCAUCUCAAAUGUGCAAGAGAGGUUGAGCAGCGUGGAGGACCGACUAGCACGCCUAGGGCGGCGAGUAAAUGUGAUGGAGCGCCGUGAGAGAAGGAGACAUCGUCCCUCUGCCUCUGGGGAUGCACCCUGAUUGUUCUCACCACUGUAUAUAGUUACCCAAGUUUUCUUCCCCUUCCCCCACAGUUUAUUGUUGAGCUGUUCAUUUAAAAAAAAAAAUUUUUUUGUGGUUCUCUUUUGCUGAAUUUUUUCCUUAAAUUAAAAAAAUAUUUUCCAUGAUGUCACAGUGAUAUUUUCUCUGUACGUGGUCCAUGUCUAUGCAUCCAUAAGAUAGGUGUAAUGGCUGUCUGGACUGUCCACUAGAUUUCCCAAAUUACAAUCAAUGCCCACCCCUUGUUGGUACAAUGUCCCACAUCAUCAUAGGUUUUCUCUGCACCCCCUUUUUUCUAAUUUCCCGCAUCCCCGGCAAACACGUGAAGUGUUUGUAUUUAUCGUGACCUCGAACUUCAUUAGCCUUACCUGCCAAAGUUUAGUCUCAUGUGUCAAAUUCUGAUUGCCACAGUUGACUUGACACAAUUGUAGGUUUUUUGGGACAUGUUAUAUAAGUGGCAAAUGGUGGAUUACACUGUUCCACAAGCACCUCACAAGCAUCCCCCCUGUCAUCAUGUCACCAGACUCAGUUUUCCAGACGAGGGAAGCACUGACAAUUUAAGGAUCAUCACCCCAAUGGCAUCAUUGGGCUCUAAAUUGCUGAUGUUGAGAAAUAAUGUGAUAUGACCUGUAGUUUAAAUGGCCCAAGAAACUGGUUGUUCCGCCACAGCACAUGGAGACAUCAAGCUGAAAUUUGUUGGCACAGCGUAAUACAAAAACACCAAUUCUGAUUCGUCUGGAAUGUGCCGCUCCUGGUGUUACCCGUUCUUCCCUCUCAAAAGCACAGUCCAUUAAUGUGGGAGAUGAAAUCAAUGGGUGAAACUGGCAUUGAAUGCAUGAUUUUCUGAAUGGAGUGCUGAAUCAAUCAGUCCCCAGUGUCUUAGAUUGGGUGUGAUGGAAAUGAACUACACGUGACGCCAAUUAACAGAAUUUACAGGCGGGCCCCUAUCUGUGCUGGAUAUCCAGAUGUGUUUUUUCUUCUACUGGCGUGGAACAAAAGGAGCUGUUUAAAAGUGGAGGAUGCCGAAGGACACUUUGAAUAUGAUGUCCAGAAUGAUUCUGCUGAUAUCCUAGGUUUCCCAUUCAUCACUCCAAUCGGGGGGCCAAACGUCGUAGUCUCCAGCCUGGUUGGCACACAGGUUUGAGACAGGUGCCAAACACGAAGAACCACAAAGAACCCACAGAACGCCACAUCACAACUUUAAAUUUAGCAUUCUGUCUGUAUUCACUGUAUCUUCAGAAUGCUUUCUCCAUUGUGUCCCCAGGCAUAACACCAAAUUUUACAGCAAAACAGGAAUGGAAAUACAGAUAAGAUUUCAAGGGAAUCUAUUUUAAGUUCAUGGAUGUCAAUGUGGAACUAAAAAAUUGGGUCACCAGAAAUAAGAAGCGUUUCUUUAAGAGCAACAGAAAGGUGUUCGAUGUUCAAAAUGUUUUCUGCAUGUUUUUGGACAGCAUUUCCCCUGUUAAUCCAAGAUUGACAAACUUUCUUUAUCUACUAAUAUUUUUGCAAGGAACACAAUUGAUUCCUAUUCUGUCUGUGCGGCACGUAAAUCUUCCCUCGAUUCUCUGAUCCUUUUUUUUCUAAUUUUUUUUUUUAAUGAAUCUUUGGAAUAGCGAUAUUUUGUUAUGUGGGAAUAAAAAAAGUAUUGCGCCCAGAAAAGGCACCCUAGCCAAGUGUCCCCGUGGUGCUCAACCUUCGGUCGUGACAAGCGCCAGCCACGAGACACACCCUGACCAAACGAUUUAAUAACAUUCCAACAAAAUAAUUCCGGGUUGGACAUUCAAAGCUUUUUAUUUUGAUCUAUCGUCACUGCGUCACGAUGUCUUAAGUUUUAAAAAAGCCAAAAAAAUUAAAAGAGACAUUUCUCAAGGAACAAGAAACACAACAGAUUUUAAAAACUUGUUUGUGGUAUCAUUCAAGAGCACUGUAUACAUGGGCCGAGGCAGGAGGCGUUAGGACGGCGGUUAAAUGUGAUCUUUGUUGCGCUGGAACACACUACGAAAUUUCGC